RNAcentral lists this ribosomal RNA (208 nucleotides) under Phaseolus chiapasanus. RNAcentral describes it as "5.8S ribosomal RNA". The stretch from base 10 to 165 matches the Rfam family "5.8S ribosomal RNA". Rfam says of the family: 5.8S ribosomal RNA (5.8S rRNA) is a component of the large subunit of the eukaryotic ribosome. It is transcribed by RNA polymerase I as part of the 45S precursor that also contains 18S and 28S rRNA. Lineage: Eukaryota; Viridiplantae; Streptophyta; Magnoliopsida; Fabales; Fabaceae. The record is from RNAcentral.
AUGUAAAAUGACUCUCGGCAACGGAUAUCUCGGCUCUUGCAUCGAUGAAGAACGUAGCGAAAUGCGAUACUUGGUGUGAAUUGCAGAAUCCCGUGAACCAUCGAGUCUUUGAACGCAAGUUGCGCCCAAAGCCAUUAGGCUGAGGGCACGCCUGCCUGGGUGUCACACAUCGUCACCCCCCUGCCCGCCACACUUAACCAAAAUAAAU